This is a long non-coding RNA of Clarias gariepinus (North African catfish), 2126 nucleotides long. RefSeq lists it as uncharacterized. The transcript is spliced from 3 exons. The record is from RefSeq and is a predicted model, not a curated record. Lineage: Eukaryota; Metazoa; Chordata; Actinopteri; Siluriformes; Clariidae.
CAAGGAAGAAGAACAAACUAAUAAUAAUAAUAAUAAUACGGGCUCGUACAGGCGGCAUGUCCACUACAAUAAUUAUGUUUAUUGGCGCUGUGUAGUGUUAUAUAAAAACAGAAAGCCAUUUGGGAUUUAACAGUUGUCUGGCACUGAUGGACAUUGUACAGGAGUUGAUCCCAGUGUCUGCGAAUAUCGUUCUGUCCCUCUCAGCUCUGUCUGCUGCUUUUCAUCUGUUCAGGGACCACCGAGCUCCAUCGGUGGGUUUUUUCUUCAUCGCCUGCUCAUCAUUUCUGGCAGUUAUCCCUCUGCCCCCAUCUCUGUCACAGUUCCAGAAAGAUCUAGAAUGGGCAGGCGAGAUACUGGGCCCCUCUCUUUCUGCCUUUGGCUUUUUGUGGCUCAGUGAAGAUCGCUGGACUGCCCAUGUACUCCUGACUGGUUCAGCACUUCUUCCGAUGCUCUCUGAUUGGCUGUCGGAGGACGGUUUGGUGAUAUUAACGCGUUGUGUGUCCUUGUCAGCACUUUCAUGUGCUCUGACAGUGUGCCUGUUUGCUACCAGUGGGACUGGUGUGCUGGCAAGUGUGGCCCUCAGCCUUCCUGCACUUGUGGCACCCGGGGUCAGAGGUGGCAGCAUGGUCUCUCUGAUAUCUUCACAGGGCACUGAAGUGUUAUUGGCAUGGAGUCUGAAAGUCAUCAUGGCGGUAGGGUGCUGGACAAUGAAGACAGCUUUAGAUACAUUCCUCAAGAAUUUGAAGAGCUGGGACUGAACCCUGUGUGUUACCACAACCAGUAAAAUGCUACUUGAAGCUCAUGAACUGAUUUUCUGUUACGUUACAGUGAGACUCCACAGUGUGCUGCUGUUGCUGUAUACCUCAUAGGACACAGCCAAUUUGCUCGCCCGCAGUAAUGAUGGUCAUGAGUGACUCAAACAAAUUCAGAUGUACUUCUUUCCUCAAAUGACUAACAAUUUGGAGCGUAAACUUUGUAAACAAGAAACUGUAACCUACCAAAGCCAUAUUUAGGUACCUGCUACCUAUCUUAUUUAUUUCUCCAUAUUAGCCUUCAUAAUAAGACCUCAGCUGUUCACUGGGACUAAGAAAUAUUACAUUAACAUUUUCUUAUUUAUUUAUUCAGAUGGGUGACAUUAAUUUAACAUUAUUUUUUUAUCACCUUAUGUUAAACUUACAAAUUUCUCUAAAUUCCUGAAUUAUAUAUAAUUCAUUAUAGCAUAAUUAACUUUUCACAUUUUACUUUUCUAUUUAAACUUUUUAUUUAUUUUUAAAUGUGCCUUAAAAUUUUUUUUAUAUGUAAGCCUACAGAUUUACACAUUAAAUAAACACUAUACACAGUUUUUCCAAGGAAGAAUCAUACAGUAUAUUGUGUUGUAUUUCACUAAGUCGGGUCUAAUCGGGUCUUUGUGUACUUCAUGAGUCAGCAUAAAUAGUGUACACAAUGCUAUUUGAGGUUGUGCCCAGACAUACAGUAUUAUUAGCAUGCCAUAUAUUCCGUUCUCCUGUGUUCUCUAGCUCAGCAACUUCCACCACAAAAAUAAAUCAGCUGAUCAUCAUCCGUCAUCAGUCCAUUUAAAUUAAUGUUUGUUUAUUUCCUCAGUCUCUUACUCUGUUGCCCCAGGUUGCUUGUGCCUCCUGUCAGUAACUGAUACUUUAGUAUGAUUUCACAAUGCCUGAUAUAUGCAAAUUUCCCACAAAUCUUGACUCCAUGACAUACUAAGGCAAAUUACUGUUACAGGAUUUUAACUGGACCUUAUUACUGAUUGUAUGUAUUCUUUACAAACUUCACAACUUUAACCCAUUAACAUUCUUCUUAACAUUUUGGUAGAGCCACUACUGUAUAUCGAAUAGAAAAAUGUGUGCAACCUGAUUGAGCUACAGUAUUUCUAAAAUUCACCAGAGACAUUCUAGGCUAAGAGAAAUCCACUAGAUGUCACUGUGUCUUUAAAUAGCAUGCCCUUUCAAUUGCCUUUUUAGAAUAGCACAAGAGAUAGAGUUGACCUGAAACAAAAAUAUAGCAACUGUGUUUGUCUUGCACAUUCUUUUAUCACAAAGUGACAUCUCAACCGUUUGGAAGAGGCCUAUACUGACAUAAUGAAAAAGAAACUGGCUGUUGGUAUUAUU